CUUCGGAAUCUUGAGAGCGGCGCACGGGUGCGGAACACGUGUGCAACCUACCUUUAUCAGGGGGAUAGCCUUUCGAAAGGAAGAUUAAUACCCCAUAAUAUAUUGAAUGGCAUCAUUUAAUAUUGAAAACUCCGGUGGAUAGAGAUGGGCACGCGCAAGAUUAGAUAGUUGGUGAGGUAACGGCUCACCAAGUCAAUGAUCUUUAGGGGGCCUGAGAGGGUGAUCCCCCACACUGGUACUGAGACACGGACCAGACUCCUACGGGAGGCAGCAGUGAGGAAUAUUGGACAAUGGGUGAGAGCCUGAUCCAGCCAUCCCGCGUGAAGGACGACGGCCCUAUGGGUUGUAAACUUCUUUUGUAUAGGGAUAAACCUUUCCACGUGUGGAAAGCUGAAGGUACUAUACGAAUAAGCACCGGCUAACUCCGUGCCAGCAGCCGCGGUAAUACGGAGGGUGCAAGCGUUAUCCGGAUUUAUUGGGUUUAAAGGGUCCGUAGGCGGACUCGUAAGUCAGUGGUGAAAUCUCAUAGCUUAACUAUGAAACUGCCAUUGAUACUGCGGGUCUUGAGUAAGGUAGAGGUAGCUGGAAUAAGUAGUGUAGCGGUGAAAUGCAUAGAUAUUACUUAGAACACCAAUUGCGAAGGCAGGUUACCAUGUCUUAACUGACGCUGAUGGACGAAAGCGUGGGGAGCGAACAGGAUUAGAUUACCCUGGUAGUCCACGCCGUAAACGAUGCUAACUCGUUUUUGGGUCUUCGGAUUCAGAGACUAAGCGAAAGUGAUAAGUUAGCCACCUGGGGAGUACGAACGCAAGUUUGAAACUCAAAGGAAUUGACGGGGGCCCGCACAAGCGGUGGAUUAUGUGGUUUAAUUCGAUGAUACGCGAGGAACCUUACCAAGGCUUAAAUGGGAAUUGAUCGGUUUAGAAAUAGACCUUCCUUCGGGCAAUUUUCAAGGUGCUGCAUGGUUGUCGUCAGCUCGUGCCGUGAGGUGUUAGGUUAAGUCCUGCAACGAGCGCAACCCCUGUCACUAGUUGCUAACAUUCAGUUGAGGACUCUAGUGAGACUGCCUACGCAAGUAGAGAGGAAGGUGGGGAUGACGUCAAAUCAUCACGGCCCUUACGCCUUGGGCCUCACACGUAAUACAAUGGCCGGUACAGAGGGCAGCUACACAGCGAUGUGAUGCAAAUCUCGAAAGCCGGUCUCAGUUCGGAUUGGAGUCUGCAACUCGACUCUAUGAAGC
Molecule: ribosomal RNA, 1240 nt
Filed under: Chryseobacterium sp.
Lineage: Bacteria; Pseudomonadati; Bacteroidota; Flavobacteriia; Flavobacteriales; Weeksellaceae
Description: bacterial SSU rRNA
Rfam family: Bacterial small subunit ribosomal RNA
Source: RNAcentral